GUGAAGCCAAGCUUGCUUGGUGGAUCAGUGGCGAACGGGUGAGUAACACGUGAGCAACCUGCCCUGGACUCUGGGAUAAGCGCUGGAAACGGCGUCUAAUACUGGAUAUGAGCCCCUUCCGCAUGGUGGGGGUUGGAAAGAUUUUUUGGUCUGGGAUGGGCUCGCGGCCUAUCAGCUUGUUGGUGAGGUAAUGGCUCACCAAGGCGUCGACGGGUAGCCGGCCUGAGAGGGUGACCGGCCACACUGGGACUGAGACACGGCCCAGACUCCUACGGGAGGCAGCAGUGGGGAAUAUUGCACAAUGGGCGGAAGCCUGAUGCAGCAACGCCGCGUGAGGGAUGACGGCCUUCGGGUUGUAAACCUCUUUUAGCAGGGAAGAAGCGAGAGUGACGGUACCUGCAGAAAAAGCGCCGGCUAACUACGUGCCAGCAGCCGCGGUAAUACGUAGGGCGCAAGCGUUAUCCGGAAUUAUUGGGCGUAAAGAGCUCGUAGGCGGUUUGUCGCGUCUGCUGUGAAAUCCCGAGGCUCAACCUCGGGCCUGCAGUGGGUACGGGCAGACUAGAGUGCGGUAGGGGAGAUUGGAAUUCCUGGUGUAGCGGUGGAAUGCGCAGAUAUCAGGAGGAACACCGAUGGCGAAGGCAGAUCUCUUGGGCCCGUAACUGAACGCUGAGGAGCGAAAGGGUUGGGGAAGCAAAACAGGCUUUAGAUACCCCUUGGUAGU
Molecule: ribosomal RNA, 721 nt
Filed under: Pseudomonas sp.
Lineage: Bacteria; Pseudomonadati; Pseudomonadota; Gammaproteobacteria; Pseudomonadales; Pseudomonadaceae
Also listed under: 1 other name
Description: bacterial SSU rRNA
Rfam family: Bacterial small subunit ribosomal RNA
Source: RNAcentral